Long non-coding RNA from Diceros bicornis minor, 2428 nucleotides. RefSeq lists it as uncharacterized. The record is from RefSeq and is a predicted model, not a curated record. NCBI's taxonomy places the organism in Eukaryota, Metazoa, Chordata, Mammalia, Perissodactyla, Rhinocerotidae. The transcript has 3 exons.
UUAAAUCUGCAUAAUAACCUUACUCUUGUUUACUGUGCUUUAGUGGUAAUCUCCUGUAACUGACUCCCCCCACCCCCAACAUCCUCCUUUGUCAUUGGCUGAACAUGGUAUUUAAGACGAGAAUUUCUGCUAUUGUGUUGAGAAACGCAGUGUUCCUGCUUUCUCCCAUGUAUACAUGUUAUUAAACUUGGUAUUAUUUUCUCCUGCUAACCUGUCUUGUUGAUUAUUUGGCCAGCCAUAAGAACCUUAAGGGAAAGGGCAGAGGGAGAUUCUUCCUCUUCCUCCAACACUGUGGAUUGAAAUAAGUGGUCAGCGGCACAAAGCUACACACGGAUGUCCACGCAGCGUUGUCGACAGUGGGGAGGAGUGACCAGCAGGAGCACAAAUGCCCUGGCUCAGGACUUAGACUCGGGGCGACCCACCCUAGUGUGUAUGGUAGAGCUGCCACACAAGCAAAGGCUUCGAGUGGAGAUGACCGUGCUCACCACUGCGAGGACUAGAGAAAACAAUUGUGCAGAGGGACUGAGCUCAUUGCCUGGCACACAGCAUGACUCAAAAAAGUAAGAGUUUUGGGCCGGCCCCGUGGCUUAGCGGUUAAGUGUGUGCGCUCCACUGCCGGCGGCCCGGGUUCGGAUCCCGGGCGCACAUAGACGUACCGCUUCUCUGGCCAUGCUGAGGCCGUGUCCCACAUACAGCAACUAGAAGGAUGUGCAGCUAUGAUAUACAACUAUCUACUGGGGCUUUGGGGGGGAAAAAUAAAUAAAUAAUAAUAAAAAAGUAAGAGUUUAAACAACCCAAAUGUACCUCAAUGGGAGAUUUAUUAAAUAUAUUAUGGUACAUUCACACAAUGGAACGUUCUGCAGCCAAUAACAAGAAUAAAAUAGAUCUACAUACAUGGAUAUGGAAAGAAGUCCACAAUAUACUGUAAAGCUAAGAAAUGCCACAAAAUAGUUGUAUAGAGUAGUUUUAUUUAUAAAAGUGUACUUGUAUGAAUAAACAUGAAACUGGUAAUGAUUUUUUUUUUUGGAAGGUGCAGUAAGGUGCUGGGGGCUGGUAUUUAUAAGGAACUUUUCCUUUCUACUUUGUAAUUUCCUACACCUGAUUUCUUAUUACAACAAUUGUGUAUCACAAUUAUAACCAGAAAAAUAAAGGUUUUCUAUUUCAAGGAACACAAUUGAAAUUUAUGGAUAAUUUUUGUCAGUUAGUAGUUCUGAUUAACUGUAUAAUAAUUUUCUUAGAUUCUAAAAUAUCUGGUUGAAAUUUUUAUUGAGAUUGCCUUAGAUUUACAGAUGAAUUUGGGGAGAAAGUCUUCCCACCUGGGAACAUUUUUUAAUGGUUGUUUUGUUUUUAUAUUUGUUUAAAUUUUCUUUUCAGACCUUCAAUCAAAUUUUAUAUUCUUCUUCAUAUAGGCUCUAAAUAUCUCUAAUUACAUAUUUCACAGCACUUUUUCUAUUUUGAAUGGAACCAUUUGUAAAAUAUAUCCUCUAGUUGGUUAUUGCUGAUAUACAAUAUAUUUUGAGUGACCAUGAAGAUACAUGGACUACUGUGCAGGCAUGGAUGAGAAUAAGAGACCUAUGCUUCUCCAGACUUGAGAGCUGGGAUGGAUUCCAAAGUUCCCUGUUCUCAUCUUUCAUACGCAGAGGAAAGAGCCUAGGUUUACUCGAGCUUCCUCUGCCAGAUGGGAGCUGCUCUGAGCAGCAGGGAAGGUGCACCAGCCCCAGCCGUCCCAGCAGUGAGGAGAGCUUCUGGAUCUCUGGAAGAGCAUGUCUGCAGUGGCAGCCUCAGGUGGGCCUGGCAGGACAGCCAUGUCCUAGCUGCUGUAGCUGUCCACUUUAGGAGCAUUUCUAGCUCAGCUGUGCAUACCACAUCCAUGUCAAGUCUCAGCCAGAAGCAAGACUCAUGGAAAUCCCUGCUCUGGAUGGUCCCCAGCACCUGGGUCACUCACAGAGGCACUGCCAGCCCUACAGGCUGCUCCCGCCCAUGGGCACCCUCUCCUCCAGCAUCUCCAAUGUGACAAGCACAGCAGCCCCCAGUGGGCUCUGCCCUCCCACCCAGGUGGCCUGCUCCUCCACAGGCUGUCCUCAGCACCCGCCUGCUCUGUGCUUUUUCAAGCAGACCCUUCAACGUUUCUUCCAUGCACUGGGCAACCUCGCCUAGCUCACAAGACCAAUAUAGAUUUGUCCUUAUUUCAAUCAGAAUCCAAAAGAAGAACUUGAAGUAAAUUCCUAAUUUCACACUGACUUCCUAACCAGACUCCAGGCUUUUAGAACUCUUUGUUUAUUUUGCCUCACUGGAUGUUUUUCUUCCCACUUAAAUGAGUGUGUUGCUAUUCACACUAAUUUGUGUCUUAGUAUCAAAAGCAUCUUAUAUGUGAAAACAUGUUGCAAGCCCAAAUAGGCCAUACAAAUAUAAGGUACUAUUACGAUAG